Ictidomys tridecemlineatus (thirteen-lined ground squirrel) is the source of this 1669-nucleotide non-coding RNA. NCBI's taxonomy places the organism in Eukaryota, Metazoa, Chordata, Mammalia, Rodentia, Sciuridae. The record is from RefSeq and is a predicted model, not a curated record.
GCUCUCGGAUCAGGUCCUGCUCCACACUGGUGUCCAUGAGGUUUCCCCUCAUCUCAGUGGUGCCUGGCAGGUAGCCCCGGACUGAAGAGAGGGAAAAACACUCACUGGACGGAGGACCACCCCAGGAAUAAAUCAAAUAAAUCACUGACUGAUCAGAAGCAAAGGCAUCUAAAGAACAAUCAUAGAUGCUCAUUCAAAAUGAUGAUUUAAGCCCAGGGAAGUUUUGUCCUGCAGGAGAGGACAGACCUCCAACUCAACAAACAACCUACUAAAGACAAAGUUAACAGGCCAGUGGUAUUUUUUUUAGUAUUUUUACUCCUACAUUCACAAGUUGCAUCUGUUUAUUUGCCUUUUCAAGACCAUUUGUGUUAAGUGUAGAUAAUCAGUUUUUCCACUUAUAUUAUGAUUUCAUAAUUUUCUUAUCUUUUUUUAUGCUUUGGAACAGAUUAUAUAACAAAAAAAUCCUUAAAAUUUUGAAAGAAUUAAACUAUGAAACUCUAGGUCCAAAGUGUAAUUAGAAGUAACUUUUAAUAAUUUCUCAAGUCUAAGUAGUUUUGUAAUUCUUGAAUCAAUCAUAAUUUAUAUUCUCCCAGAAUAUAGUACUUUCCUAUGGUUUUAAUGUUUGUGUCUCCCCAAAAUUUGCCUGCCCUCACGCCUGGGAUCAGUACUCUCAUUCUCAUGAGAGUCCUUGAAAGAUCUCCAUCCCGUCCACCACAGUAAGAAGAAAACCACCGUGAGGAAGCAGCCCUCCCAGACCAGAGAUCUGCCACUCCCUGACCUUGGACUCCCAACCUCCAGAGCUCUGUGAAAUAGACUUCUGCUUUUUAGGAGCCACCCAGUCUGUAGUAUUUUGUUAAAACAGCCACAUAAAUUAAGACAUCCAUUUUGUAGACUUUUACUUCUUAAUAAACAAUGACACAACCUUCACUUAUGAUUCUGAAUACCCACACCAAGGACAAGCCCAAAAAGAAGAGCAGGAACAGCCUAAUAACUUUUUAGAACCUGUUCAUUAUGUAACACCACAGAAAGACUGGAGGUGCUGGCCCAAAGUAAAGAGAAAGAAAGACAAAAGGCGGAACUAGCUGAUCCCCUCCAGGCAGCCCAACACUGACAGAGAAGAAAGCAAGGGCACAGUAUCCAUGGAGACCUGGCAGCUCCUGAGACAGUUUCUGACAAUCUGGACUUGCCAAAAGACUAAGAAAUUCUGAUCUGAGUUUAAAAAGGAAAGAAAGAAAAAGGGGUUUUACUUUGAAGUGAUAGCUGGGAAAACAAUAUGCUAACCUGAUUCUUCUCAUUAAUUCUAAGUUUUCCGUCAGUGUUAAAGAUUUAUUAGGAAAGAGCUAUUCAGACAGUUCAUUAUUACUAUGUGAUUAACCCCACCCCCCCAACUGGCCUAUACCUACAGGCAACCUGAUUGAUGGCUUUUCCUUCUUUCAAAGAAGAGAUUUAGAAAGAACCCCCCAGGAGAUUUUUCUCAAGCAGGGCUUACAAGGCUAAAAGGAUAGUCACUAUGUAGCAGGAAGAAAAGUGUGGAAAGAUUGGGAGGUUAAAUCUGAAAACCCAGCCAAGGAAGUCAGGGUUGUUUCCGUGUUACAAUUCUAGGUCUGCAGCCCUUAUCACAACAUUAUUACUUAGAACUACACACAAACCGCUAAUUUACACUCACCUU